RNAcentral lists this ribosomal RNA (408 nucleotides) under uncultured bacterium. RNAcentral describes it as "bacterial SSU rRNA". It matches the Rfam family "Bacterial small subunit ribosomal RNA", at positions 28 to 430 of the family's 1533-position model. The record is from RNAcentral.
GAUGAACGCUAGCGGCAGGCUUAAUACAUGCAAGUCGUGGGGCAGCGCAGUGUAGCAAUACAUGGGCGGCGACCGGCAAACGGGUGCGGAACACGUACACAACCUUCCUUCAAAUGGGGAAUAGCCCAGGGAAACUUGGAUUAAUACCCCGUAACAUUAUGAGGUGGCAUCACUUUAUAAUUAUAGCUCCGGCGUUUGGAGAUGGGUGUGCGGCUGAUUAGGUAGUUGGCGGGGUAACGGCCCACCAAGCCUUCGAUCAGUAACUGGUGUGAGAGCACGACCAGUCACACGGGCACUGAGACACGGGCCCGACUCCUACGGGAGGCAGCAGUAAGGAAUAUUGGGCAAUGGACGCAAGUCUGACCCAGCCAUGCCGCGUGGAGGAUGAAGGUCCUCUGGAUUGUAAAC